AAGUCUCAGUGCAGCUGGAAGUUUUUAUCCGCCUCAAGCAGCACUAAGACUUUU
This 54-nucleotide microRNA precursor is filed under the name Sarcophilus harrisii (Tasmanian devil). RNAcentral describes it as "Sha-Mir-7262-P3_pre stem-loop". The record is from RNAcentral. Lineage: Eukaryota; Metazoa; Chordata; Mammalia; Dasyuromorphia; Dasyuridae.